This 253-nucleotide ribosomal RNA is filed under the name uncultured bacterium. RNAcentral describes it as "partial 16S ribosomal RNA". It matches the Rfam family "Bacterial small subunit ribosomal RNA", at positions 524 to 776 of the family's 1533-position model. The record is from RNAcentral.
UACGUAGGGGGCAAGCGUUGUCCGGAUUUAUUGGGCGUAAAGAGCGUGUAGGCGGCCGUACAGGUCAGCUGUGAAAACUCGAGGCUCAACCUCGAGACGUCGGUUGAAACCGUACGGCUAGAGUCCGGAAGAGGAGAGUGGAAUUCCCGGUGUAGCGGUGAAAUGCGCAGAUAUCAGGAGGAACACCGGUGGCGAAGGCGGGUCUCUGGGCCAUUACUGACGCUGAGGAGCGAAAGCGUGGGGAGCGAACAGG